UGAGAAAAGUCGUUAUUCUGAAAAACAACAUGAUGAAUGAAUCAAACAAUACUAAAAGCUGAAUACUAAGUGUUUUUACCCUGUCCACGUUGGAAGGGAAAUUCUAGCCAAUCAGAUUGCAGGUUUGGUCCACGUCAUUACGAUAUGGUUUGGGCUUUUGUUGUUUAUUUUUUAAAUCGCAGAGUAAAAAAAUGGGCCUAAACCCUGAGUCCCACCGUUUGUUAUAGACCACGAACAUAACGACUGGCCGCGACACGAAAAGUCCGAACAUGAAACGAUUGUAAUUAAGCUUCUCCAUUAAUUUCUAUACCAACCCCUUCCUCUGCAUUACAUUUAAUUUCCUCUUUUUCUACCUAAAAAAACUUCAGAGAUAUCUACACUAUAAAUAAUGAGGAUGCUGUGAUCAAAUCUCUUCCAUUCAAUUAACCUGCAACAAUGUUGACCUCUCAUCUCCUCUCCUGCUGUCAGAUUUGAAGUCCGGUUGUUCUCCGCAGAUGGUGGUCAUGCUCUUGAUUAAUGAAAUGUUUGUCCUCCUUAUCUUACCUUUUGUUUUUUUAAUCAGUGGGUUUGAUGUUACGAGAACCAAACCGCUUCAAAUUUUCAGAUUCAUCAAUAGCUAUUCGCUUCACCUAAUCGACAUUACAUACGGAGCUCUUUAAGUUUUGUUGAUAUGAAUAAUUGAUGGCACUGACAAAUACAGAAAACAGAAUUGUCUUUUCAUUCUUGAUCCAUAAUUCAUCUCUAUCAAGGGUAAAUUUACAAAAACAGAACUGUUUUUUUCCUUCUUUUGUGAAUCUCCAAGAAAGAAAGGAAUCUGUGUGUUAUACAAUCAUGAUUGAUCUUCGGCGGACUCUAGAGUUAAGGUUGAGCUAAAUAUAAGCAAUUUGUUUCGUCGUUUCUACUCUCUAAUAUCAUCAAUACUUUCAAUGAUUUGAUCUCUCUGGCAGAGAAAAACGAGUAUAGUUUCCAAAGGGGAGGAAAUAUAAACCUGACCAACUCUUAUAGAAAGAGGCUGUAGCUCUACGCCAAGCAUGUGCUGCUGUUUUGGAACGUUCAUAUAUUCGAAAUCAGAAUACUGCUGAGCUCUUUAUUGGUCAUAGUGACAACAUUGAUGACGCUGAGGCUUAGAACACUUACAAGGAAAUUUUUGUAUACAUAUCAUCUUUGUAAGAGACUGAUUUGAAGAUCUUUUAAAUGUAUAGUACAUAAAGGUCUCAGUGUUGUGGGACCCUUGAUCAUCGUUGAAAAAGUGAAGGUGAUGGAUCUACGAGACGUGGUCAGGUCGUGGAGGUUGAUGGCGAGAAACUAUUCAGGAACAUCUGAAAUUGGCACCGUUCAAUUCCCUGAAGAGGUACUGAAAACACAUCUAUGACAAGACAUGCUUGGGCGCAUUUUUAACUGCUCAAGAAAGCCAAUUGAUAACGGCCCUCCUAUUUUUCCUGAGGCAUACCUUGAUAUUUUCUGGAAGCUCAAUAAACCCCAGUGAAAGCACUUUUCCUGAAGAAAUGAUACAAACGGGUAUUUUUACCAUUGAUGUCAUGAACUUAUACUCUUCCUUGAAGAUGUACAUGAGACCAUUCAUGAAGGAAUCAACCUUGGUGAAGACAUCAAUGUCUCUAUAGUCAGGGAUACCAGCUGUGCUAAAUCCUCAUUUCUAAGGUACUAGUUCUCACUGGAUAUUAAUUUCUCCUGUUUUAUAUUUUCUAAAACAUGUCCGCCCCUCAGUGUUGCAUUGUUGAUGCAUGCACACCGCAGGCUUAGUGCCAAGUUAUGUGUAUACAUCUAGGAAGUGGCUACGCGCGGUGACAUAUGUUGACCGUCAGUAAUAUGUUGUUUUAGCUUUUUCUUAACUCACGUCUAAUCUGUGGCUGAGUUUUACAGUUUAGGUAUGCGGUAUUCUGUGCCUAUAUGAGGGUAAUUGUGGGUAUGGAGGGAUGAAUUUAAGAUAAUUGGCGUGUAACUUAUGUGAACGGAAAACAGGACAUUCCUUUUUUUCAAACUGGCAUAGACUAAAAUAUUUGUAUAAAUAUGCCAAUCUUUGUUGUUGGGGAAAGAAGUGUUCAUAUGAAUGAGUUCUUUUUGUAUGAUUUAUUUUUAACUGUGACUAUAGGUUGUUGCAAUUUAAAAACUUCAUUGGCUCAGCUUUAAUUGGAAUGUUCACUGAUAUUCAUGUAUUUUUCUUUUAUAAUUGUUUCUUGCAAGAUCCAACUCAGUCACACUGAUAUUUUUUUCUUAUUAUUUUUCUAUUA
Molecule: long non-coding RNA, 2249 nt
Organism: Brassica napus (rape)
Lineage: Eukaryota; Viridiplantae; Streptophyta; Magnoliopsida; Brassicales; Brassicaceae
Exons: 6
Source: RefSeq, a predicted model, not a curated record